RNAcentral lists this ribosomal RNA (594 nucleotides) under Bacillus sp. CH131b_4D. RNAcentral describes it as "bacterial SSU rRNA". It matches the Rfam family "Bacterial small subunit ribosomal RNA", at positions 57 to 632 of the family's 1533-position model. The record is from RNAcentral. Lineage: Bacteria; Bacillati; Bacillota; Bacilli; Caryophanales; Bacillaceae.
GCAAGUCGAGCGGACCGACGGGAGCUUGCUCCCUUAGGUCAGCGGCGGACGGGUGAGUAACACGUGGGUAACCUGCCUGUAAGACUGGGAUAACUCCGGGAAACCGGGGCUAAUACCGGAUGCUUGAUUGAACCGCAUGGUUCAAUCAUGAAAGGCGGCUUCGGCUGCCGUUUACAGAUGGACCCGCGGCGCAUUAGCUAGUUGGUGAGGUAACGGCUCACCAAGGCGACGAUGCGUAGCCGACCUGAGAGGGUGAUCGGCCACACUGGGACUGAGACACGGCCCAGACUCCUACGGGAGGCAGCAGUAGGGAAUCUUCCGCAAUGGACGAAAGUCUGACGGAGCAACGCCGCGUGAGUGAUGAAGGUUUUCGGAUCGUAAAGCUCUGUUGUUAGGGAAGAACAAGUACCGUUCGAAUAGGGCGGUACCUUGACGGUACCUAACCAGAAAGCCACGGCUAACUACGUGCCAGCAGCCGCGGUAAUACGUAGGUGGCAAGCGUUGUCCGGAAUUAUUGGGCGUAAAGCGCGCGCAGGCGGUUUCUUAAGUCUGAUGUGAAAGCCCCCGGCUCAACCGGGGGAGGGUCAUUGGAAA